CCCUUGUACACACCGCCCGUCACACCAUGGGAGUCGUUUGCUCCAGAAGUGCCUACGCUAACCCGCAAGGGAGGCAGGGCCCCAAGGAGUGACCGGUAACUGGGGUG
RNAcentral lists this ribosomal RNA (107 nucleotides) under uncultured bacterium. RNAcentral's name for it is "partial 16S ribosomal RNA". It matches the Rfam family "Bacterial small subunit ribosomal RNA", at positions 1378 to 1482 of the family's 1533-position model. The record is from RNAcentral.